UAGCUCAGUUGGUAGAGCAUGGGACUCUUAAUCUCAGGGUCGGGGGUUCAGGCCCCAU
Molecule: transfer RNA, 58 nt
Filed under: Neotoma lepida (desert woodrat)
Lineage: Eukaryota; Metazoa; Chordata; Mammalia; Rodentia; Cricetidae
Rfam family: tRNA
About the family: Transfer RNA (tRNA) molecules are approximately 80 nucleotides in length. Their secondary structure includes four short double-helical elements and three loops (D, anti-codon, and T loops).
Source: Rfam by way of RNAcentral